Molecule: ribosomal RNA, 433 nt
Filed under: uncultured bacterium
Lineage: Bacteria
Description: partial 16S ribosomal RNA
Rfam family: Bacterial small subunit ribosomal RNA
Source: RNAcentral
AACGAACGCUGGCGGCAGGCCUAACACAUGCGAGUCGAGCGCGCCCUUCGGGGUGAGCGGCGGACGGGUGAGUAACGCGUGGGAACGUGCCCUUUUCUACGGAAUAGCCUCGGGAAACUGAGAGUAAUACCGUAUACGCCCUUUGGGGGAAAGAUUUAUCGGAAAAGGAUCGGCCCGCGUUGGAUUAGGUAGUUGGUGGGGUAAUGGCCUACCAAGCCGACGAUCCAUAGCUGGUUUGAGAGGAUGAUCAGCCACACUGGGACUGAGACACGGCCCAGACUCCUACGGGAGGCAGCAGUGGGGAAUCUUAGACAAUGGGGGCAACCCUGAUCUAGCCAUGCCGCGUGAGUGAUGAAGGCCUUAGGGCUGUAAAGCUCUUUCAGCUGGGAAGAUAAUGACGGUACCAGCAGAAGAAGCCCCGGCUAACUCCGUG